AAAAGGAUAUCAGAUCUAGUACUGAUGUCUGUUUUGCCGAGUUACCGUGGGGUGUCGCCCGUUCACACUGCCUCACGGGCUGUUCCACUGUCGCCCAUAAAACUGAAGACCCUCCAGGCUCCUCUGUCCGUGGGAUUUCCCAGGCAAGAAUUGGGUUGCCAUUUCCUCCUCCAAGAGAUCUUCCCGACCCAGGAAUCAAAAUCGAAUCUCCGGCAACUCCUUGCAUUAGCAGGAAGAUUCUUUACCACUGAGCCACCUGGGAAGCUAGUCCAAGCAUGUGGCUCAAUUACAGUGUGACUAUCGGAAAGUUCCCUAACUUCUCUGGGCCUGUUUCCUCGCUGGUAGGAUGGGGAUUCCCACAGUAACUUCCUUCAUGUGGACGUCGCUAGGCUUCAUAUGAAGGUGAAUGUAUGGAAAGCUACUGUAUCGUCGAAGAUGCAGCCUGGCACGUACUGAGCACUCAGUAAAUGGCAGCCAUAGCCUUGAUCACAGCCACCCUCUCCCGACAGGGGCCACAGGGUCUGGAGCAGCAGAAGCAGCAGCCCUUGACGCCCUCCCCAGCCUGGUUCGGACCCAUCCUGGAGCACUCCCUUGGCUGCACAUGUGCUUGUGGGGUGGCGGCAAUCCUGUCUGGGUAAUGCAUCCAAAGACAACAGAUCAAUAGCCACUCGGCACUCCAAUGCCAUGGCUGAGGCCCACGGCACGUUCCAGGCUGCUGGCCAAUGAGUUCAAGCUCCUUUUUCCUUUUGGGCAGAAAACAACUCGCCAUGUAAGCUUGGACGAGUUCUUUUUUCCUCCUGGAAUCUUGGUUUCACUGACUGCAAGGUCAGCCUAUGGCCUCUAGUGCUCCUUUGAGCUCUGACCCCUUGGGAGUUUUGCAGACAGAAAGGCAAUAAAG
Bos taurus (domestic cattle) is the source of this 898-nucleotide long non-coding RNA. Lineage: Eukaryota; Metazoa; Chordata; Mammalia; Artiodactyla; Bovidae. The record is from Ensembl.